Molecule: ribosomal RNA, 756 nt
Filed under: uncultured bacterium
Lineage: Bacteria
Description: bacterial SSU rRNA
Rfam family: Bacterial small subunit ribosomal RNA
Source: RNAcentral
ACCUGCCGAUGACUCGGGGAUAGCCUUUCGAAAGAAAGAUUAAUACCCGAUGGCAUAGUUCUUCCGCAUGGUAGAACUAUUAAAGAAUUUCGGUCAUCGAUGGGGAUGCGUUCCAUUAGGUUGUUGGCGGGGUAACGGCCCACCAAGCCUUCGAUGGAUAGGGGUUCUGAGAGGAAGGUCCCCCACAUUGGAACUGAGACACGGUCCAAACUCCUACGGGAGGCAGCAGUGAGGAAUAUUGGUCAAUGGACGAGAGUCUGAACCAGCCAAGUAGCGUGAAGGAUGACUGCCCUAUGGGUUGUAAACUUCUUUUAUACGGGAAUAAAGUGAGGCACGUGUGCCUUUUUGUAUGUACCGUAUGAAUAAGGAUCGGCUAACUCCGUGCCAGCAGCCGCGGUAAUACGGAGGAUCCGAGCGUUAUCCGGAUUUAUUGGGUUUAAAGGGAGCGUAGGCGGACGCUUAAGUCAGUUGUGAAAGUUUGCGGCUCAACCGUAAAAUUGCAGUUGAUACUGGGUGUCUUGAGUACAGUAGAGGCAGGCGGAAUUCGUGGUGUAGCGGUGAAAUGCUUAGAUAUCACGAAGAACUCCGAUUGCGAAGGCAGCUUGCUGGACUGUAACUGACGCUGAUGCUCGAAAGUGUGGGUAUCAAACAGGAUUAGAUACCCUGGUAGUCCACACAGUAAACGAUGAAUACUCGCUGUUUGCGAUAUACAGUAAGCGGCCAAGCGAAAGCGUUAAGUAUUCCACCUGGGGAGUA